GACGAACGCUGGCGGCGUGCCUAAUACAUGCAAGUCGAGCGAAGUUUUUCUGGUCUUUGCACUCUGACAACUUCGCGGCAAGCGUGUGUGUCACGCGUAUAGAACCUCCCUCAUAGACUGAUAACACUAUUAGAAACGAUAUCUAAUCCCGUAUUAUAUUAUUUCUCGCGUGUCAGUUAUUUAAGAGUUUUUUAUGCUCACUCUAUGAUAUGUCUUUGCGGUGCAUUAGCUAGUUGGUGGGGUAAAGGCUCACCAAGGCCACGAUGCAUAGCCGACCUGAGAGGGUGAUCGGCCAAACUGGAACUGAGACACGGCCCAGACUCCUACGGGAGGCAGCAGUAGGGAAUCUUCCGCAAUGGGCGAAAGCCUGACGGAGCAACGCCGCGUGAGUGAAGAAGGAUUUCGGUUCGUAAAGCUCUGUUGUUAGGGAAGAACGGAUAUGUAGGAAAUAUAGAAGGAAGAGACGGUACCUAACCAGAAAGCCACGGCUAACUACGUG
This 499-nucleotide ribosomal RNA is filed under the name uncultured bacterium. RNAcentral describes it as "partial 16S ribosomal RNA". It matches the Rfam family "Bacterial small subunit ribosomal RNA", at positions 28 to 507 of the family's 1533-position model. The record is from RNAcentral.